Non-coding RNA from Acanthosepion pharaonis, 112 nucleotides. NCBI's taxonomy places the organism in Eukaryota, Metazoa, Mollusca, Cephalopoda, Sepiida, Sepiidae. The record is from the annotation of a GenBank genome assembly.
UUACGGCCAUAUCACGUUGAAACACCGAUUCCCGUAUGAUCACCGAAAUUAAGCAACGUCAAGCCUGUUCAGUAUUUAGAUGAGUGGCCGCUUGGGAAUACCAAGUGAAGUA